GCAAACUUGGUCAUUUAGAGGAAGUACAAGUCGUAACAAGGUAUCCGUAGGUGAACCUGCGGAUGGAUCAUUACCAAAGGAAUAACUUCCUACGCACUGUGAACUGUUUUGACUGACAGUCAGUGACUGUUUGCCCUGCUUACUGUAGGGCUACGUGUUGCUGACUGUACUUACUAAACGUAUUGUAACUGUUAAACUGAACUACUUUAGUAUGAACUAAAGACAACUUUUAGCAAUGGAUCUCUUGGUUCUCGCAUCGAUGAAGAACGCAGC
RNAcentral lists this unclassified non-coding RNA (273 nucleotides) under uncultured fungus. RNAcentral's name for it is "partial contains small subunit ribosomal RNA, internal transcribed spacer 1, and 5.8S ribosomal RNA". The stretch from base 1 to 73 matches the Rfam family "Eukaryotic small subunit ribosomal RNA", at positions 1759 to 1831 of the family's 1831-position model. The record is from RNAcentral. Lineage: Eukaryota; Fungi.